Molecule: non-coding RNA, 96 nt
Organism: Mycena galericulata
Lineage: Eukaryota; Fungi; Basidiomycota; Agaricomycetes; Agaricales; Mycenaceae
Source: the annotation of a GenBank genome assembly
UCGGAUGUGGUGCACGGCGCACACCUGCCUCACCUAUGAUAAAUCCGGAUAUGAAUUUGUAGGUAGGAAGCCCGGGUUCGACUCCCGGCGUUCGAA